GACGAACGCUGGCGGCGUGCUUAACACAUGCAAGUCGAACGGAAAGGCCCUGCUUUUGUGGGGUGCUCGAGUGGCGAACGGGUGAGUAACACGUGAGUAACCUGCCCUUGACUUUGGGAUAACUACAGGAAACUGGGGCUAAUACCGGAUAGGAGCUCCUGCUGCAUGGUGGGGGUUGGAAAGUUUCGGCGGUUGGGGAUGGACUCGCGGCUUAUCAGCUUGUUGGUGGGGUAGUGGCUUACCAAGGCUUCGACGGGUAGCCGGCCUGAGAGGGGGACCGGGCACAUUGGGACUGAGAUACGGCGCAGAAGCCUACGGGAGGCAGCAGUGGGGAGUAUGACGCAGUGGGGGGAAGCGUGAGGCAGCGACGCCGCGUGCGGGAUGACGGCCUUCGGGUGGUAAACCGCUUUCGCCUGUGACGAAGCGUGAGUGACGGUAAUGGGUAAAGAAGCACCGGCUAACUACGUG
Molecule: ribosomal RNA, 468 nt
Filed under: uncultured bacterium
Lineage: Bacteria
Description: partial 16S ribosomal RNA
Rfam family: Bacterial small subunit ribosomal RNA
Source: RNAcentral